UAUGUACUCCCUCCGUUCGGAAUUAUUUGUCGAAGAAAUGAAUGUAUCUAGAUGUAUUUUAGUUAUAGAUACAUUCGUUUUUGUGACAAGUAAUUCUGAACGGAGGAAGUACAUA
Triticum aestivum (bread wheat) is the source of this 115-nucleotide non-coding RNA. The record is from Rfam. NCBI's taxonomy places the organism in Eukaryota, Viridiplantae, Streptophyta, Magnoliopsida, Poales, Poaceae.